UAGUGGUUAUGUCCUCAAUACAACCUAUCAAAGAUUGCUCUAAUGAUAUUCUUCUCAUUUUAUAUGACCACAGUUAUUUUAGGCCUGGCAUGUGUAAUAAAGGACAUCUGUUCCUAUUCAUAAACACCUUCCCUUCUUACCCAGACUGUAGAAGAUAUUGCAAGUCAUAGAAGAAACUCAUGGUAUAAGGUGACAGAGACAGAGAGGAACUGACAUAUUGAGAAGGACAGACUGAGCAUAUCAUGGGUUCUCAGGUGUUGGGUGACCUCACACUCUGGGUACAAAAGCAUGAUGGCCAGAAUCUUACCAGGGCAUGCUUAGCCCCAUCGACCUCUAAAGUCAGUUCCUAGCUCCCCCCAGCAAAAGCACCAGCUUCUACCCUCAAUCACUGAUUCUGAAACUCAACCCAUUCCAGAUGCACCUGGGGACCAUCUUAACCUAGAUUCCAGGCCUCCCUUUGAGAUUCUGAAUCAGUAAGUCUAGAAUCAGUAAGCCUGGAAUCCUUAUCUUCUCACCAUUUCCCAGCUGAUGCAGGUAAACUGAAGAAGAUGGUGCCGAGAAAUGACAGGCUGCAUCUGCCAGUGUCAGAGAAAGAUCUUUGUGGCAAGGUGCUGUGGCUUACCAGGUACAGCCCCCACCUACAGUGCUGGCAUCCCAUAUGGACAUGGGUUCAAGUUCCAGCUGCUCCGCUUCUGAUCCAGCUCUCUGCUAUGGCCUGGGAGAGCAGUAGAAGAUGGCUCAAGUCCUUGGGGCCCCGCACCCAAGUGGGAGACCUGGAAGAAACUCCUGGUUCCACGCUUUGGAUUGGCACAGCUCUGGCCGUUGUGGCCAUCUGGGGAGUGAAGCAGUGCAUGGAAGACCUCUAUCUGCCUCUGCCUCUCUGUAACUCUGACUUUCAAAUAAAUAAAUAA
Oryctolagus cuniculus (rabbit) is the source of this 911-nucleotide non-coding RNA. NCBI's taxonomy places the organism in Eukaryota, Metazoa, Chordata, Mammalia, Lagomorpha, Leporidae. The record is from RefSeq and is a predicted model, not a curated record.